AUGAUUGUACUUGAGAAGAAGCCACAGUGGAGGCUAUGGAUUUGGUUGGUCUUGGGUCAGGAGCAGGGUCUUUGGAAGGCAGAGCAGAUGGCUGCUUGCGCCCCCAUCAGAGUUGGUCUUCUGCAUGGGCGCCUUGAUCUGACCAGCCGCACCGGCGCUGCUGCUACCACCCCGGCGGUCCGACAUCUUCACUCUCGCUUCACUACCUCAGCAAAAGACAGGGAGCCUAGACCGAGACCUUCGCGUGACAACUUAACAGUUUUCGGGGAUGGAUCAAAGGUCCGACGAACAGCAGGAUGA
RNAcentral lists this ribosomal RNA (300 nucleotides) under Triticum aestivum (bread wheat). Its description in RNAcentral is "partial small subunit ribosomal RNA". The record is from RNAcentral. Lineage: Eukaryota; Viridiplantae; Streptophyta; Magnoliopsida; Poales; Poaceae.